This 460-nucleotide unclassified non-coding RNA is filed under the name Hevea brasiliensis (rubber tree). Lineage: Eukaryota; Viridiplantae; Streptophyta; Magnoliopsida; Malpighiales; Euphorbiaceae. The record is from RNAcentral.
UUGUAGUUUUUUUUUUUUUUUUGGUGAAUUCAUUUUCUCAUUCCUGAUAUAUGCAAAUAGAAAAAUGCCAACUGUUCAAAAGUAUAGCUACUAAAUGAAAGGGACAGAAGUUAAGAAAUUGAAUGGGAAGUCACACUUUUAUGUUGGGUGGUGAAGUGGAAAGGCUGUCGAUAUUGAAGGAUUGUAGUAAACAAGAGAGAUGAAUGGAUGAGAUGUUCAUGUUUGUACUUAAUUGAAGCCUUAUGUUCAUGUCCUUCUUUUAUGUUUUCCAUAGUAAGCAUUCUCCCUUCCCCCUUUCCUCCCUCGGAGACUGGCCUAGAUUUCCUUCUGUUCCAGGUAGAAAAAAUAAAAUAAAAUCAUGCAACCUGCGGUUCUACAUUUGAUAAAAUAAUCUAUCUUCCACCUGGUAAUGGUAUGCAGAAGCAUCCUGCGGUUCGGAAGAAGGGAAAAAAAAAAAAAA